Molecule: long non-coding RNA, 1501 nt
Organism: Nicotiana tabacum (common tobacco)
Lineage: Eukaryota; Viridiplantae; Streptophyta; Magnoliopsida; Solanales; Solanaceae
Source: RefSeq, a predicted model, not a curated record
UAGCAAAAGAAAUAGAGGUAUUGCCUCACUCAGAUAAAAUAUUUCCUAGAACACAUCGAAGAAGAACUUUUCUAUCUACUGGAACCCAUCGAAAAUACUCUCUGGACAUAUCAAAGAAUACUCCCCCUUAGAGAAAUCCAAGCAAAUCUGAUGAUACCCAAUCCCUAGGUGCCGGAGAAGGAGAAGACUCUUAAUUUUGUCUUAGCUGCAAAGUAGGUGAAGAGAUUUUGGUAGUAGUAGGGGAUGGAGAAGCUGCAAUUUUGGUGCGAUAAGUGCAAACACUUUAUCUCCUCAUCGUAAAGUUAUCAUUGAAAAAGCAAAAUUCUUAUCAAAGGCUGAAAUGGAGAGAAUACAAUUAACUCAAGAAACUGAAGAUGACAGUGAUUCAGUUGACGCAUUUGCGUCAUAGGACCUGAGCACCCAAGUCGCGUAAGAUUGUAUGGUCGAGGGGUUACAAAGACUGUCUUAAAAAAGAAAAUGGAAGAUGUUGGAUCCUCUGUAGAUGCUACUGAUGCGAGGAUGCAACAAAAAAAUGGAGGAAAUGGAAGAGAGUGCAACAAGGUAUGCAGAAAAAUUUCAACGCACAGAAAGAUGCUAUGGAACAAGAAAUUACAAUGAACGUCGUUGCACAACUUCAAUGUCUGAACCCAGAUUUGCGACUUGAUCCUAACAUGCUAAUGUUCAGUGCUCGUGCACCUGGAGAAGCUUCCUCUGCACAACAAGCUCCUAUUCAACUAAUCAAUCGUCCAUUUGCUGGCAGUAACAAUCAAGAUGCCUUGCCGGUACUUUAUCGUUUUUAUGGGAGUUUUGGUUGUGUUUUAGAGCUGUUUCGGGGCUAGAUGUGGUUCACGAUGGUUUUCAGCUGGAUUAUUGGUUGUGUUUUGGUGUGUUUUUGGGCUGGUUUGGGAAGGAGAGAUGGCAGCUGUUUUGCUGCGCUUUUGAGCAGCUUUUCAGCCGCAUUUUUGGAGGUUUCUGCUGAUAUUUUUAUGAAGUUUCUAAGUUAUUUUUGGGUGGUUUAUGGGAGGUUUAUAUGGCUGUUUUGGUUGUGUUUUAUGGGAGUUUUGAUUGUGUUUUAUGGGAAUUUUGGUUGUGUUUUAUGGGAAUUUUGGUUGUGUUUUGGAGCUGUUUCGGCGUCUAUUCUAGAUGGGGUUCAUGAUGUUUUUAGCUGGGUUCUCGGCUGUGUUUUGGUGUGUUUUUGGGCUAGUUUAGGAAGGAGAAUUGCAGUUAUUUUGCUGCGCUUUUGAGCAGCUUUUCAGCUACAUUUUUGGAGGUUUCUACUGAUUAAUGAGAGGUUAAGGGAUGUUGCAAAAUAUAUUGUUAUGCUUUUUAGUUUUACAUGUCUAUAUUGGGUGAAAUGCCUAUGUACUCCCUGUGAAGACAGUUGAUAGAAAUAUUCUAGGAAUGUUUGUUAUCAGCAUUUUGUAACUUUCUUUAACUUUUAAAAUGUAAAACUUAUGUCAAGAUAUUUUACUUUAAUGGAUAUUAUUAGGUUGUUGGACAA